RNAcentral lists this ribosomal RNA (1445 nucleotides) under uncultured prokaryote. RNAcentral describes it as "partial 16S ribosomal RNA". It matches the Rfam family "Bacterial small subunit ribosomal RNA". The record is from RNAcentral.
GGAUGAACGCUAGCGGCAGGCUUAACACAUGCAAGUCGAGGGGUAACAGGGAAAAGCUUGCUUUUCCGCUGACGACCGGCGCACGGGUGCGUAACACGUAUGCAACCUACCUUUCACUGGAGGAUAGCCCCGAGAAAUCGGGAUUAAUACUCCAUAACAUCACAGAUUCGCAUGUUUCUGUGAUCAAAGCUCAGGCGGUGAGAGAUGGGCAUGCGACCUAUUAGUUUGUUGGUGAGGUAACGGCUCACCAAGACUACGAUAGGUAGGGGGUCUGAGAGGAUGAUCCCCCACACUGGUACUGAGACACGGACCAGACUCCUACGGGAGGCAGCAGUGAGGAAUAUUGGUCAAUGGACGAAAGUCUGAACCAGCCAUGCCGCGUGCAGGAAGAAUGCCCUAUGGGUUGUAAACUGCUUUUGUGUAGGAAGAAACCCCCUGACGUGUCAGAGGCUGAAUGUACCAUACGAAUAAGCACCGGCUAACUCCGUGCCAGCAGCCGCGGUAAUACGGAGGGUGCAAGCGUUAUCCGGAUUUAUUGGGUUUAAAGGGUUCGCAGGCGGAAAAUUAAGUCAGUGGUGAAAGCCUACAGCUCAACUGUAGAAGUGCCAUUGAUACUGAUUUUCUUGAGUAUAGUUGAAGUGGGCGGAAUGUGUCAUGGCAGCGGUGAAAUGCAUAGAUAUGACACAGAACACCCGAUAGUGAAGACAGCUCCCUAAACUAUUACUGACGCCCAGGAACGAAAGCGUGGGGAGCGAACAGGAUUAGAUACCCUGGUAGUCCACGCCGUAAACGAUGAUUACUCGUUAUUGGCUUAUGUCGGUGUCCAAGCGAAAGUGAUAAGUAAUCCACCUGGGGAGUACGAUCGCAAGGUUGAAACUCAAAGGAAUUGACGGGGGCCCGCACAAGCGGUGGAGCAUGUGGUUUAAUUCGAUGAUACGCGAGGAACCUUACCAGGGCUUAAAUGCAGAACGACCGGCGUGGAAACAUGCCUUUCUUCGGACGGACUGCAAGGUGCUGCAUGGUCGUCGUCAGCUCGUGCUGUGAGGUGUCGGGUUAAGUCCCAUAACGAGCGCAACCCCUAUCUUUAGUUGCCAGCGGGUAAUGCCGGGGACUCUAGAGAAACUGCCAGCGUAAGCUGAGAGGAAGGUGGGGAUGACGUCAGAUCAUCACGGCCCUUACGUCCUGGGCUACACACGUGCUACAAUGGCAAGGACAAUGAGCUGCCAACCCGCGAGGGUGAGCAAAUCUUCAAACCUUGUCUCAGUUCGGAUCGGAGUCUGCAACUCGACUCCGUGAAGUUGGAAUCGCUAGUAAUCGCGUAUCAGCCAUGACGCGGUGAAUACGUUCCCGGGCCUUGUACACACCGCCCGUCAAACCAUGGAAGAUGGGAGUGCCUGAAGUCGGUCACCGAAAGGAGCGCCUAGGGUAAAACCAAUGACUGGGGU